GUGUACUUCCAGUUAAUUACAAAUGUUUUUAAGAUUAUCCUUGGUAUCCUCUGUAUAUUACUUGUGCCAUAAAACUAAUGUUCUGAAAGGAAUAUUAAUUAUAACAGUAUAUAACUACCAAGGAAUUGCCCAGGACAAUAAUGUACCUGCUGCUUCUUCCUAGUUCUAUACCAUUAUUUCUGUUAUGGCCCAGUAUACAGUAUAUGCAUUUGAUUUACUGAGACAUAGGGCUGUAUUCUCUAAGCUUUAGUAGUGCUCCUGCCUGUAGCCUGUAGUGUUAACAGAUGCACUGGGAAUCUGUGGGUCUGUAUUUGUUUAAUUUAUUAAAGGAACAUAUUGAUUGUGCUGUUAUAUAAUACAUUGGUUUUUGUUUAUCUGAGCUCUAACUUUGGACUGUAUUUCCAGACCACAGGCUUUGAAAGCACGCCUUUACAGCUAGACUACAGGGAUGUGUCAAUGUCAUUGUAAUCUCAAGAGUGGGAGAGACUCUGAGAAACUGGUUAGAGUCAGCCAGCAGAGGGGGUUCCAUGUUUCUACUGAGGCGAUCCCUGAGGGGGCGCAGGUCAACAGCACACCCGUUGGAAGGUGCACAACAACUGGGUCACAAAGUUAGGGAGGAUCUUUUUGGCUAGUAUUCAUAGUCAUUUUUCUUUUAUGAAUAAUACAUGAUUUAUUAUGCUCUUUUCUAUAGCUUUGGACUUAAAGAGUAAGUGUAACAUGCAAUCUCAUACAACAAGAGCUCUGGUUUUUCUGUUCUAUACCACAUCAUGGAUUAUUAUUGCUGUGUUCCCUGUUUGCCAACGUGGGCAAUAAUCCUUACACUUUCAGUGCACUAGAGCGGCCAUUUUGAAAAGAGCAUUGAAGCAGACUUAAACUUAC
Polyodon spathula (Mississippi paddlefish) is the source of this 879-nucleotide long non-coding RNA. RefSeq lists it as uncharacterized. The record is from RefSeq and is a predicted model, not a curated record. NCBI's taxonomy places the organism in Eukaryota, Metazoa, Chordata, Actinopteri, Acipenseriformes, Polyodontidae. The transcript has 3 exons.